ACGGCGCGACCGCCUCCCGGAGCGGGACGAGCGCCGACUCGAAGUCCGCGUGGCCGGGGGCCACUUCGGCCACCGCCUCGAUCGCCGCCUGGGUGCCGUCC
Molecule: transfer RNA, 101 nt
Filed under: Streptomyces purpureus
Lineage: Bacteria; Bacillati; Actinomycetota; Actinomycetes; Kitasatosporales; Streptomycetaceae
Description: tRNA-Ser
Source: RNAcentral